CUUUUUCAAAAUGUUCUUCAAAUUACAAAUAAUACAAAUAGACAGUUUAUUUCUUUUUCAGAACUUUCUUUAAGUUACAAAUAAUACAAAUAGACGCCAACAAGGGUUGGUUGAGUUCGUAAGGAUCGGUCUCUUUGUUUAUUAGUAAAAACUAACAUAAAGACUAAGACUCAUUCUGUAAGUCCUCAAAAAAACCUUGAUAUAUCCUAGUUAGAAUAGGAUAGCUCCCUUUCCCCUAACACCAAAAUAAAGAAUAAUACAAAUGGAUACAUUUUAACUAGAUUUGGUGGAGUGUGCCAAGCCCAUGCAAUAUUGCAACGCUUGGGCGACACUUGAGAGCCCCAAUAGCAAUCUAUUAUGGUGGAACCUCUUCCUAAAAAAAUUAAUUUAAUAUCAUGUGAGCCAUUCGCCCACGUAUCAGAUAUUAAACUGAUAAGAACAGAUACUACACUUGAUCUUAGCCAAAAGGCCGAGAAAGGUAUGCUUAUCUUCAU
Molecule: long non-coding RNA, 494 nt
Filed under: Prunus dulcis (almond)
Lineage: Eukaryota; Viridiplantae; Streptophyta; Magnoliopsida; Rosales; Rosaceae
Description: sRNA ncRNA
Source: RNAcentral